Molecule: ribosomal RNA, 465 nt
Filed under: Vreelandella stevensii
Lineage: Bacteria; Pseudomonadati; Pseudomonadota; Gammaproteobacteria; Oceanospirillales; Halomonadaceae
Description: partial 16S ribosomal RNA
Rfam family: Bacterial small subunit ribosomal RNA
Source: RNAcentral
CCUACGGGUGGCAGCAGUGGGGAAUAUUGGACAAUGGGCGAAAGCCUGAUCCAGCCAUGCCGCGUGUGUGAAGAAGGCCUUCGGGUUGUAAAGCACUUUCAGUGGGGAAGAAAGCCUUGGGGCUAAUACCCUCGAGGAAGGACAUCACCCACAGAAGAAGCACCGGCUAACUCCGUGCCAGCAGCCGCGGUAAUACGGAGGGUGCGAGCGUUAAUCGGAAUUACUGGGCGUAAAGCGCGCGUAGGCGGUCUGAUAAGCCGGUUGUGAAAGCCCCGGGCUCAACCUGGGAACGGCAUCCGGAACUGUCAGGCUAGAGUGCAGGAGAGGAAGGUAGAAUUCCCGGUGUAGCGGUGAAAUGCGUAGAGAUCGGGAGGAAUACCAGUGGCGAAGGCGGCCCUCUGGACUGACACUGACGCUGAGGUGCGAAAGCGUGGGUAGCAAACAGGAUUAGAUACCCUGGUAGUC